Homarus americanus (American lobster) is the source of this 1104-nucleotide long non-coding RNA. RefSeq lists it as uncharacterized. NCBI's taxonomy places the organism in Eukaryota, Metazoa, Arthropoda, Malacostraca, Decapoda, Nephropidae. The transcript has 3 exons. The record is from RefSeq and is a predicted model, not a curated record.
AAAAUAGAGUAACGCCGUGACUCGAUCUCGGUCCUCUAAAAUAGCAAACAGAAAGCUUAUCCACUGGACCGCAGUUCGGCCAUAAAUUUGACGUUUUUACGAUAUUUGAACGUAUAAUCAUGUUCGAAGCUUCAAAUGCUUCAAUGAAGCUUCGUGACGUCACUCUCAACCUUCAUAUAUAAAGUCUCGACGAACUCGUUUUCGGCCCAUUCUUCACUCACUAGCUGCAGCUGACAGGGAGAUCAUGGAAUGACUGCAGAUUCAACUACAGUACAAAACCCUCUGUUAUUGGUGUGGUGCAGUAUGUGGUCAGUGUGGUGCAGUAUGAGGACACAAGUGAAGUGUGGAGCAGUAUGUGGGGACAACAGACCACGAGUGAAGCUUCUCACAAUACACAACGGUGUUCCUUCAGGUAACAGCUGAUGUACGUGAAGGCCAAUGGAGAAGUGACAGAACCUCGAGCAAGAUUUAACUACCAGCAUGUUACUUCAGCCUCAUCAGUUAAGUUACUUGUACAGUAUAUCUUAGCUAGUAUCUUUAUCCAAUAAACCACUCGACACUGCUCCUACACUGGGCAGUGGAGGGUGUGUGGGGGGUGCCUUGCUGACUGUUUGAGGCCUAAUAGGUCUGUGUGUAGACCUAGUGAUCAGUGUGUGGGGCCUGGCGGACACUCUUGGAGGACUGUGUUGGAGGGCUAUGGAGGACGAUCUGUAGACAGACUGAUAUUAGAGUAAAAUUAAUAUUAGUUGUAGUGACAGUAGAAAUAUACAGAACUGUAUGCCUAUUGAUUAUUAGUGAAAAUUAGUAGCAGUAGUAAACAUAGUAAGUUAAACAAGUUGUUGUGGGUGGGUUUCAACUAACUUUACUAACCAUAUUAACCUAAGAUAAACUAUUCCAAGACAUAAUUCAGUAUUUUUUUGUCACUUACGUUAACUGAUCAUGAAUUCAUAAGUUAAUUUUGAAAGAAGUUAAAUUUGACUUUUGUAAAUAAUUAAUUUUUGAAAAAUUAUGUACAUUUGACGACAGUUUAACUACAUGUUGUUUAGUGGUAGAUGGAUAUUGUAUGUUUAACAUUCAUUCUACAUAAAUGCCAACUUUAAACAU